GCCGCGGUAAUACGGGGGAUGCAAGCGUUAUCCGGAAUCAUUGGGCGUAAAGCGCCUGUAGGUUGUUUAAUAAGUCCGUUGUUAAAGACUAGGGCUUAACCCUAGAAAAGCGAUGGAAACUACUAGACUUGAGUAUGGCAGGGGUAGAGGGAAUUUCUAGUGUAGCGGUGAAAUGCGUAGAUAUUAGAAAGAACACCGGUGGCGAAAGCGCUCUACUGGACCAUUACUGACACUCAGAGGCGAAAGCUAGGGUAGCAAAAGGGAUUAGAUACCCCUGUAGUCCUAGCCGUAAACGAUGGAUACUAGAUGUUGUAUAUAUUUUACAGUAUCGUAGCUAACGCGUUAAGUAUCCCGCCUGGGGAGUACGCUCGCAAGGGUGAAACUCAAAGGAAUUGACGGGGGCCCGCACAAGCGGUGGAGCAUGUGGUUUAAUUCGAUGCAACGCGAAGAACCUUACCAGGGCUUGACAUACUGCGAAUCUUUUUGAAAGGAAAGAGUGCCUUCGGGAAUGCAGAUACAGGUGGUGCAUGGCUGUCGUCAGCUCGUGUCGUGAGAUGUUGGGUUAAGUCCCGCAACGAGCGCAACCCUUAUUUUUAGUUACCAAUUUACUUGGGUUCUCUAGAAAGACUGCCGGUGACAAACCGGAGGAAGGUGAGGAUGACGUCAAGUCAGCAUGCCCCUUAUGUCCUGGGCUACACACGUGCUACAAUGGUUGGGACAAAGAGUUGCAAGUUUGCAAAAACAAGCUAAUCUCAUAAAC
This 760-nucleotide ribosomal RNA is filed under the name Prymnesium parvum. RNAcentral describes it as "bacterial SSU rRNA". It matches the Rfam family "Bacterial small subunit ribosomal RNA", at positions 514 to 1281 of the family's 1533-position model. Lineage: Eukaryota; Haptophyta; Prymnesiales; Prymnesiaceae. The record is from RNAcentral.